RNAcentral lists this microRNA precursor (145 nucleotides) under Gossypium hirsutum (cotton). RNAcentral's name for it is "MIR7502 microRNA precursor family". It matches the Rfam family "MIR7502 microRNA precursor family". The record is from Rfam by way of RNAcentral. Lineage: Eukaryota; Viridiplantae; Streptophyta; Magnoliopsida; Malvales; Malvaceae.
UUUUAAAAGUUUCAUCCAUUUGUAUUGUAAAAAACUGACGUGGCUGACAGAGUAAUCAGACACUGAUUUGUGGCAUGCCACGUAUACGUCAUGCUGGCAUAUAUGAACUAGUUUUUAAUAAUAGAAAUACGUAAAAUAUUUAAUA